Molecule: RNA transcript, 2306 nt
Organism: Cornus florida
Lineage: Eukaryota; Viridiplantae; Streptophyta; Magnoliopsida; Cornales; Cornaceae
Exons: 4
Source: RefSeq, a predicted model, not a curated record
CUAACAAUAAUUACUUGAUUAUCAUCUGACAUGGAGGAGUUGGUCUUGAACGCUCAAGUUCCUCUACACACUGAAUAGAUUUUUCUUCAAACCGAACAGGAUUCUUCUCCACCCAUUGCUCAAUUGUUUGAGUACUGUACUCAAAUAAAGCCCUUUUUUUUUCCCGAGUCAAAUACUUUGAAGUUCAACAGGUUCUGGUGAUCCAUUUUGCGGUUGCCUUUGAAAUCUUCCAGUUUUGUCUUCUCAUCAAAUGGAAUAACAAAAUGCCUAGAGUCUAGAUCCUUGAUAUUUGCAAUAUCAAAAUUUUCGCCAUCUCUCUUUUUGGUAAUUAUGCAAUUAUAUCCAUGUAUGUCCAUGGUCUCAAUCUCCCCUUUUGACACCCUUUUUGACAUUCUAAAAAAGAUAACAAUAACAUUCCAUAUGUAAGAAAUGUGCAAGAAAACAGGGGAAAAAAAAAAAAAAAAAAAAAAAAAAAAAAAAAGGAAAAUACCUCUAAAAUGGUUGUCAAUAUAAGAAGAUUAAACAACACAUACAAGAGAAAUGUAGAAGAAGACAGCAGGCAAAAACAAAAAUACCUCUCAAAUGGCGGUCCAAAACUAUCUAGUGAGUAGCCAUUGGGUUUGCUCCAGAGAGAGAACGAUGAAAAUUGUGAUAAAGUUGGAAUGGCCUUCUGAAACUAUCUUCUGAGUAGCAGUUCAAUUCCUAGGGUUUGCUACGGAUAGAGAAGAUCAAAAUGGUGAUAAAGUUAGGAUGCUUUUAUGAGUCUCACUCGUCUUAUUAUACCUACCCAAAUUUACAGACAACUAAGUAGGGCUGGCCCUGAGAUUCCAAAUAUUUUGAGAGGCCCUAGGCAAACUUUCAAAUGUGAGGCCCUUAAGUUUCACAUGUGCAAAAAAUAAUAAUAAGAGUGCAAAAUUUUAACACGGUGUUUUCAAAUUCUAUAGCUAAUAUAAUUGUGCGCCUGUGCAUUGUGCAUAAGACAACUAACUAAUAACUAUGAUAAUUAGGUAAUUAUUGUUUGCUAUUUAUUUAGCUUAUUAAAGGGGGUUAGUUGAUUUAAUCCUAAAGAUGAAUGAGGAAGGUUAUUACACCAGUGCAGAUUGGAGGGUUUUCAUUACAAAUGAUACCCCAAAAUUGCUCACUAUCAUUGACGUUAUUAAGCCCGACGAAGAUCGUACCACAAGGUGGGAUGAUGAUCUACUGAGGCUCCACGAUUGGAUCAAUGAAAAGCUCUUUCCCAACGAGAACCUGACACCUUUUGAUAUUAAGGAGUAUACUUUUUUUCUUGAGAAUGGACUAUAUGAAUAGUGGGGUGAAGCUUCUGCUUCAGUAUCAUUCUGCACUCAUGACUGGAAGACAAAGGGCAUACUUCUUGGUGAGCGUUAUAGACUCACUUGGGGCAGGCAGCGCCCAGCGCAUAGUGGAUGUACUCAGCAAAAAAUUAAUAGUACGACCGGGUGGAUCCGACCCAGGUACAAGUUGCACGAUAGGGUACCAACAGAUUCACUUCCAGGGAAUGUAUUAAAUAAAAAUCCCCAUGGGAUUGUAUACCAAGAGAGUUCUUGGGCUCAUUAUAGAUUCCUUAGAGAUUGCAUCAUGCAUAUGGUGAAAUUGGACAUGGACAUCGAUUUCAUAGACACACACAGCUUUUUGCUCUUUUUCUAGAAGCAGUCUCGGUUCUCCAAAGGUUCCUCUACAACUAUGGGAUUAUUGAAAAUUUUCUUAAAGGAAUUGUUUUGGGAGUGGGGCUUGAGUCCUUGGUGGCAGAAGAGCACGAAGAUGACCAAGCUGAUGUUUAAGAUUGAGUGCAGCGGUCUAAGGAGGUUGACGGUCCUGGAAAGUGCACACAUGUCAGAAUGGUUUUGAGCUUGAUGUUGAAUAACAUUCCGAGACUGUUUGGUAGAUAUGACAUUUAGUUAUCAUGUGGACCCUGUUUUAUGCAUCGUCUUUAACUAUGUAUGACAAUCUGCACCAGAUGUAGAGGAUGGCACGAAUCUUAUUACUUGUAUGGCAGGGGGUAAGAAAACCUACCUGAACUAUUCCAAAUGGGAGAGAGGAAACCAGUUAAGGGGUGGCACCAUGCCCUUGCUUUGAAUCAAGGGAUGAAUCGUUGGUCUUACUUGGCAUAGUACUCUCCCUAUAAAAGGAAUAUUGGGGCGAUUUAUAACAGUGGGAUACAAAUAUUUCGGAUUUAACAGGCUUAGAAGAUGUAAGGAGAAUUCGGUAUGUUUUUGUGAUAGAAUAUUUUGUCAAGACUUUGUGCUGUUUUGUUUUGAUUAGGAGUAUUUUGUUACUUUGUGGUGUGA